This 1024-nucleotide long non-coding RNA is filed under the name Drosophila guanche. Lineage: Eukaryota; Metazoa; Arthropoda; Insecta; Diptera; Drosophilidae. The record is from RNAcentral.
GAAAAGUCCAUUCCUUCAGAGGCAUGGCAUAUGCCUUUGCUUUUCAUUUUAUUUGUGAAUUCCCCGGAACAAGGCGAAACUAGGAAAAUAAUCAAAACAAGAUGGCACUUAAAUUCAAGAAGGCAUUAGAUAAAGUAAUAGAGAAAUCAGAACUCAAUGCGGUUGUUUUACAACCCAAUUGCAAAGAUACUGAAGAGAUUGUGAAGAAAAUAAUUCAAGCCUUCCACGACACAAAUUCUAUUUUCCGGGACACUCUAAUUGAUUUCAUACAAACAAGUAAGCUUCACACUAUUUCCGCUCAUACAAAUGAAUAAUAAACGCUUUUACGCUGUCCUAAAGGUACCAAAAACGAUAAUUAUAUCCCAUGGCUUAAGCUUAAAAUGUCAAAACAAAAAUGACUAAAAUAGGUGAAGAUGAAAACGCGACGUUCUGCGUGCUGAAGGCAGAUGCACAGCAUCCAGUUGUAGUGUCCAGUACAUUGUGAUGAAGUACACACUCAGUGCAUUUGUGGAGGAGAACUCAGAUAGAGGCAUGCCAGUAUUUGAAAUUAAACCUCUGGCACACAGUGUCUUUUCCAGUUUUCACUAAAAUUACAAUUUUAUAUAUGACUGCUUCGCCUAUUUUGUAUUGCAUUGUUAAGUUUGCUGGAAGAUAUACAUGGGAAUUCAGUCCAAGUCCACGAUGCUAUAUUUUUGGCUACCAGCACACCGACAGCUUCUCCUCAAUCUGAUAUCGAAUUGUUCCUCGAGGUGCGUUAACCCAUCCUAAUUCCUGCGAACCUUUUGCUAACAAACUUAAAUAUUUCCAGGUUCUUAAACAAUUAAUUUCUGCGACAGCGAAUACCGGACGCUUGUUUUUCAUAUACAACAAGCUAAUGCAUUACAAACAAACAGACAGUGUGGACCUUGCUGAACCUGUGGCAUUGUUUGGCCUAAGUGAAUCUUAAUUACUACUACAAGUUUUAUCCAAAUUUUGUGUAUUUGAUACUUUUAAAUAAAACAAUCAUAAGCUGUCCCCUUUUCCA